Molecule: unclassified non-coding RNA, 356 nt
Filed under: soil metagenome
Description: partial contains 5.8S ribosomal RNA, internal transcribed spacer 2, and large subunit ribosomal RNA
Rfam family: 5.8S ribosomal RNA (bases 1-120)
Source: RNAcentral
GAUGAAGAACGCAGCAAAAUGCGAUAAGUAAUGUGAAUUGCAGAAUUCAGUGAAUCAUCGAAUCUUUGAACGCACAUUGCGCCCGCUGGUAUUCCGGCGGGCAUGCCUGUUCGAGCGUCAUUUCAACCCUCAAGCCCCCGGGUUUGGUGUUGGGGAUCGGCACAAGGACGCCCCCGGGCGACCCGCCGUCCCCUAAAUUCAGUGGCGGUCCCGCCGCAGCCACCUCUGCGUAGUAGUUUUCUCCUCGCAAGGGCAGCUCGACGACGACCACGCCGUAAAACCCCCAACUUCUGAAAGGUUGACCUCGAAUCAGGUAGGAAUACCCGCUGAACUUAAGCAUAUCAAUAAGCGGAGGA